CACUGGUCUAAAUAAGGGGUCCUGCGCCGAAAAUGUAACGGGGCUCAAGCCACGAGCCGAAGCUUCGGGUGUGUUCGUCUUCGGAUUGAACACGCGGUAGCGGAGCGUUCCCUAGGCCUGCGAAGGAAGACCCGUGAGGGCUUCUGGAGGUAUGGGAAGUGCGAAUGCUGACAUGAGUAACGAUAAUGCGGGUGAAAAACCCGCACGCCGAAAGCCCAAGGUUUCCUUGCGCAACGUUAAUCGGCGCAGGGUGAGUCGGCCCCUAAGGCGAGGACGAAAGUCGUAGUCGAUGGGAAGCAGGUUAAUAUUCCUGCACCUCGCGUAAGUGCGAUGGAGGGACGGAGAAGGUUAGGUGUACCAGGCGUUGGUUGUCCUGGGGAAAGGCGGUAGGUUUGGAUCUUUGGCAAAUCCGGGAUCCUCUAAGACCGAGCACCGAGACGAGCCUUUAUGGCGAAGUCACUGAUACCACGCUUCCAGGAAAAGCUCCUAAGCUUCAGCUUACGCAGACCGUACCGUAAACCGACACAGGUGGGUAGGAUGAGAAUUCUCAGGCGCUUGAGAGAACUCGGGUGAAGGAACUAGGCAACAUGGCACCGUAACUUCGGGAGAAGGUGCACCCUUUUUGGUGGCUCGUGCGAGCUAUAGCUGAAGAGGGUCGCAGUAACCAGGCCGCUGCGACUGUUUAUCAAAAACACAGCACUCUGCAAACACGAAAGUGGACGUAUAGGGUGUGACGCCUGCCCGGUGCUGGAAGGUUAAUUGAUGGGGUCAGCCGCAAGGCGAAGCUCUUGAUCGAAGCCCCAGUAAACGGCGGCCGUAACUAUAACGGUCCUAAGGUAGCGAAAUUCCUUGUCGGGUAAGUUCCGACCUGCACGAAUGGCGUAACGACAGCGGCGCUGUCUCCACCCGAGACUCAGUGAAAUUGAAAUCGCUGUGAAGAUGCAGCGUUCCCGUGGCAAGACGGAAAGACCCCGUGAACCUUUACUAUAGCUUUACACUGAACGUUGAGUUCGUCUGUGUAGGAUAGGUGGGAGGCUAUGAAACCAUGGCGCUAGCUGUGGCGGAGCCAUCCUUGAAAUACCACCCUGUCGUGCUUGACGUUCUAACCUGGGCCCAUUAUCUGGGUCGGGGACCGUGUAUGGUGGGUAGUUUGACUGGGGCGGUCUCCUCCUAAAGAGUAACGGAGGAGCUCGAAGGUACGCUCAGCGCGGUCGGACAUCGCGCACUGUGUGCAAAGGCAUAAGCGUGCUUGACUGCAAGAUCGACGGAUCAAGCAGGUAGGAAACUAGGACUUAGUGAUCCGGUGGUUCUGUAUGGAAGGGCCAUCGCUCAACGGAUAAAAGGUACUCCGGGG
RNAcentral lists this ribosomal RNA (1354 nucleotides) under sediment metagenome. Its description in RNAcentral is "bacterial LSU rRNA". It matches the Rfam family "Bacterial large subunit ribosomal RNA", at positions 1143 to 2473 of the family's 2925-position model. The record is from RNAcentral.